Molecule: long non-coding RNA, 625 nt
Organism: Saccostrea cuccullata (small rock oyster)
Lineage: Eukaryota; Metazoa; Mollusca; Bivalvia; Ostreida; Ostreidae
Exons: 3
Source: RefSeq, a predicted model, not a curated record
CCGAACCCUCGAGGUCAACCAGUGUAUACACACGGCGGCAAAUUCAAAGUCUACGGAGAUUUAACAUUGUCAAAAUGGCUGCCACUUCGGAAGGGGAUCAUCCAUUGUUCGUAAUUUUCCGUACGUCGUCGUCAGUAAGGAAAUGACGUCACACACGUUCGGGAGUGCUCUAUGGUUAUCGACGUCCGAAAAACCUAUAACGCCCGAGACUUCCAAGUAUAUAUUUAUCAUUGUUUAUACUACAAGAAAUAUCACUUUUUCAACAAACUUUCAUACCCAGACUGAGACCCAAGGGACCAAAGAUUCAUAAAAGGGUUAGUCACUGCAUAAAGGCAAAGAGGAUAUUAGAACAAAAUUAGAAGAAUAAUUGUAAAGUGCCCACUGAAGCUUGAGUCCAUGCUGUAGAAAAGACAUGAAACAGAAGUGAGAAAAUGUCGACAUCAGUCAUCUAUAAAGAUGGAGAUUGCCUCUAUUCUAAAAUUUCCGAGGGAAAUGGUGUUGUCUGGCUCAUCCAAUGAUCACUCCAUUUGCAGAUUACCAGGUUCCAGUCUGAAGUAUACAUUGGAAGAGCAUCUUUCUCAUUCAUAUAACAAUUACUACCUGUGAUCCAGAAGAAUGUCCUGAU